CAGCAGCCGCGGUAACACGAAGGGGGCUAGCGUUGCUCGGAAUGACUGGGCGUAAAGGGCGCGUAGGCGGUUCGUACAGUUGGAUGUGAAAUUCCUGGGCUUAACCUGGGGGCUGCAUUCAAUACGUGCGGACUUGAGUGUGGAAGAGGGUUGUGGAAUUCCCAGUGUAGAGGUGAAAUUCGUAGAUAUUGGGAAGAACACCGGUGGCGAAGGCGGCUCACUGGACAAUAACUGACGCUGAGGCGCGAAAGCGUGGGGAGCAAACAGGAUUAGAUACCCGGGUAGUCCCUGUCUCUUAUAC
RNAcentral lists this ribosomal RNA (301 nucleotides) under uncultured bacterium. RNAcentral's name for it is "partial 16S ribosomal RNA". It matches the Rfam family "Bacterial small subunit ribosomal RNA", at positions 509 to 807 of the family's 1533-position model. The record is from RNAcentral.